RNAcentral lists this ribosomal RNA (1263 nucleotides) under Triticum aestivum (bread wheat). RNAcentral's name for it is "partial small subunit ribosomal RNA". Lineage: Eukaryota; Viridiplantae; Streptophyta; Magnoliopsida; Poales; Poaceae. The record is from RNAcentral.
AUGUAUCCAGUUUGUAUGGGUGUUUUCGAUUCUGAAACUAAUGAGAAUUGGAUCUGGUUCAUGCAAAUGGUUAGACAAGCCAUAGGAUCCCCAAGGGGUUUAACCAUAUGCACCGACGCUGGGCAACCAGUGAUGACAGGUGUAAAAGAAGUGUUCCCAGAGACUGAACAUAGGGAAUGUAUGUUUCACUUGGUGUCCAACUUCAAGAAGAAGUUUCAUGGAAAGGUGUUUGAUGACCACCUUUGGGUUGCUGCUUACUCAUGGAACCCAUAUAUAUUUGAAAAAAAUUGGGCUGCAAUGGACCUAGCAAAGCCAAUGGCAACUGCAUAUCUUAGGAGGUGGCACACUAGGUUGUGGUCUAGGAGUCAGCUCUCAACAAUUUCCAAGGUGGAUUAUGUUACAAACAGCUUGGCUGAGUGCUUCAAUAAUUGGAUUAAGCAUCACAAGUCCUUGAACUUGGACGACUUCUUUGAUAAGGUUAGGCAGAUGAUUAUGAUCAUGUGGAACCGAAGGAGGAAAGUAGCAAGGAAGUUGGUUGGGUUGAUUCUUCCCCACAUAAUUAAGAAAGCAGCCUAUGACCAACUAAUUCCUGCCAUGGUUGACAAGAACCAAUGGCCUAAAUCUGACCAUGGAUUCUUCAUGUUUCCACCGCUACUAAAAUCCACGGCGGGUAGGCAUAAAACUGAGAGGUAUAAAGGUUGCAGUGAGAAGAAAAGAAAAAACGGCCAACACUUAUGCCCUAUUUGUAAGGACUAUGGGCAUCAUUGGCAUAAAUGCAAGAAGGGUAACCCAGAUGACAUUGCUGCUAUUUUAGCUAUGAGAGGACCACCAAAGAAGAGGGCAAAGACCACCAAAGCAUCAAUUGUGCCUUGCGAGGAUGAUGCUCCAGCAGCCUCUAUGUGCUUUCUGCCAAGCCAAAGCUUGGAACCUACAACUACGAAAAAGAGAAAACAUGAUAACUCAAUUACUGGAGCAUCAAAAAGCCAAAUGUUGGAGAAAACAACUAAGGAAAAAGGGAAAGGGAGUAUAUCUGGAUCCGGAGUAGCAAAAAGAUCAACAACUCAGCCCAUUUGUGUGGCCAAUAAGAAAGCAUCUGUUGCUUUGAAAUUACAUAUGAAAAGAAAAAGCAAAGAGGUUGCUGAUAAGUUGCCACACCUUCCCAUGGUGCCACAUGACAGCCCUGCAAUGGGCACACGAAGCAAAAAAAUGAAUCCUUCCAGCCCUGCAAUGAGCACACGAAGCAAAAGGAGACUUAGCUUGUGA